This 468-nucleotide ribosomal RNA is filed under the name uncultured bacterium. RNAcentral's name for it is "partial 16S ribosomal RNA". It matches the Rfam family "Bacterial small subunit ribosomal RNA", at positions 28 to 507 of the family's 1533-position model. The record is from RNAcentral.
GACGAACGCUGGCGGCGUGCUUAACACAUGCAAGUCGAACGGAAAGGCCCUGCUUUUGUGGGGUGCUCGAGUGGCGAACGGGUGAGUAACACGUGAGUAACCUGCCCUUGACUUUGGGAUAACUUCAGGAAACUGGGGCUAAUACCGGAUAGGAGCUCCUGCUGCAUGGUGGGGGUUGGAAAGUUUCGGCGGUUGGGGAUGGACUCGCGGCUUAUCAGCUUGUUGGUGGGGUAGUGGCUUACCAAGGCUUUGACGGGUAGCCGGCCUGAGAGGGUGACCGGCCACAUUGGUCCUGAGAUACGGCCCAGACUCCUACGGGAGGCAGCAGUGGGGAAUAUUGCACAAUGGGCGGAAGCCUGAUGCAGCAACGCCGCGUGCGUGAUGACGGCCUUCGGGUUGUAAACCGCUUUCGCCUGUGACGAAGCGUGAGUGACGGUAAUGGGUAAAGAAGCACCGGCUAACUACGUG